Molecule: ribosomal RNA, 217 nt
Filed under: uncultured Streptococcaceae bacterium
Lineage: Bacteria; Bacillati; Bacillota; Bacilli; Lactobacillales; Streptococcaceae
Description: partial 16S ribosomal RNA
Rfam family: Bacterial small subunit ribosomal RNA
Source: RNAcentral
AACCUGCCUGGUAGCGGGGGAGUAACUAUUGGAAACGAUAGCUAAUACCGCAUAACAGUAGAUAUUGCAUGAUAUCUGCUUGAAAGGUGCAAAUGCAUCACUACCAGAUGGACCUGCGUUGUAUUAGCUAGUUGGUGGGGUAACGGCUCACCAAGGCGACGAUACAUAGCCGACCUGAGAGGGUGAUCGGCCACACUGGGACUGAGACACGGCCCAG